ACGGGUGAGUAAUGCAUAGGAAUCUACCUAGUAGUAUGGGAUAGCCACUAGAAAUGGUGGGUAAUACUGUAUAAUCCCUGCGGGGGAAAGAUUUAUCGCUAUUAGAUGAGCCUAUGUUAGAUUAGCUAGUUGGUAGGGUAAAGGCCUACCAAGGCAGUGAUCUAUAGCUGGUCUGAGAGGAUGAUCAGCCACACUGGAACUGAGAUACGGUCCAGACUCCUACGGGAGGCAGCAGUGGGGAAUAUUGGACAAUGGGCGCAAGCCUGAUCCAGCUAUGCCGCGUGAGUGAGGAAGGCCUUAGGGUUGUAAAACUCUUUCAGUGGGGAAGAUAAUGACGGUACCCACAGAAGAAGUCCCGGCAAACUCCGUGCCAGCAGCCGCGGUAAUACGGAGGGGGCAAGCGUUGUUUCGGAA
RNAcentral lists this ribosomal RNA (414 nucleotides) under Anaplasma platys. Its description in RNAcentral is "bacterial SSU rRNA". It matches the Rfam family "Bacterial small subunit ribosomal RNA", at positions 102 to 545 of the family's 1533-position model. Lineage: Bacteria; Pseudomonadati; Pseudomonadota; Alphaproteobacteria; Rickettsiales; Anaplasmataceae. The record is from RNAcentral.